UACGUAGGGUGCAGGCGUUAAUCGGAAUUACUGGGCGUAAAGCGUGCGCAGGCGGUUUCUUAAGUCAGAUGUGAAAGCCCCGGGCUUAACCUGGGAACUGCGUUUGAAACUGGGAGACUUGAGUGUGGCAGAGGGGGGCGGAAUUCCACGUGUAGCAGUGAAAUGCGUAAAUAUGUGGAGGAACACCGAUGGCGAAGGCAGCCCCCUGGGUUAACACUGACGCUCAUGCACGAAAGCGUGGGGAGCAAACAGG
Molecule: ribosomal RNA, 253 nt
Filed under: uncultured bacterium
Lineage: Bacteria
Description: partial 16S ribosomal RNA
Rfam family: Bacterial small subunit ribosomal RNA
Source: RNAcentral